This 459-nucleotide ribosomal RNA is filed under the name uncultured bacterium. RNAcentral describes it as "partial 16S ribosomal RNA". It matches the Rfam family "Bacterial small subunit ribosomal RNA", at positions 338 to 795 of the family's 1533-position model. The record is from RNAcentral.
CCUACGGGAGGCUGCAGUGAGGAAUAUUGGUCAAUGGGCGAGAGCCUGAACCAGCCAAGUCGCGUGAGGGAAGACGGUCCUAUGUAUUGUAAACCUCUUUUGCCGGGGAGCAAAACGCGGUACGUGUACCGCAUCGAGAGUACCCGGAGAAAAAGCAUCGGCUAACUCCGUGACAGCCGCCGCGGUAAUACGUGGGAUGCGCGCGUUAUCCGGAUUUAUUGGGUUUUAAGGGUGCGCAGGCGGCGUGUUAAGUCAGCGGUAAAAUUUCGGGGCUCAACCCCGACAAGGGGUGGAGACUGGCUUGCUGGAGUGGGCGAGAGGUAUGCGGAAUGAGUGGUGUAGCGGUGAAAUGCAUAGAUAUCACGAAGAACUCCGAGUGCGAAGGCAGCAUACCGGCGCCCAACUGACGCUGAGGCACGAAAGCGUGGGUAUCGAACAGGAUUAGAUACCCUAGUAGUC